Molecule: ribosomal RNA, 253 nt
Filed under: uncultured bacterium
Lineage: Bacteria
Description: partial 16S ribosomal RNA
Rfam family: Bacterial small subunit ribosomal RNA
Source: RNAcentral
GACGUAGGGCGCGAGCGUUGUCCGGAUUGAUUGGGCGUAAAGAGCUCGUAGGCAGCUCGUUGCGUCGGCUGUGAAAACCCGCAGCUCAACUGUGGGCCUGCAGCUGAUACGGGCGGGCUGGAGUUCGGUAGGGGAGACUGGAAUUCCUGGUGUAGCGGUGAAAUGCGCAGAUAUCAGGAGGAACACCGGUGGCGAAGGCGGGUCUCUGGGCCGAUACUGACGCUGAGGAGCGAAAGCGUGGGGAGCGAACAGG